CGGGUUUUCCAAACCCUUGGGUGCAGACCACGCGUGAACAGCUUAGACUUCGGUCUUUGCAAUUGCUUGGGUGUCGAAAGGCGCCCAAUCUUUAAAACUUUUAUAUUUGUUCUGAAACAAUGAAAAUUUAAAACUUUCAACAACGGAUCUCUUGGUUCUCGUAUCGAUGAAGAACGCAGCAAAGCGCGAUAGGUAAUGCGAAUUGCAGACGUGAGUCAUUGAAUUUUUGAACGCAUAUUGCGCUAUUAGUUUGUCUAAUAGCAUGCUUGUUGGAGUGAUAAUCUUCCUCUCAACCAUUUUUGGUAUGAGGUCUUGCUCCUUUUAGGAGUUAAAAUCAUGGAAGUGCACACGUUAAUUAACUCUGUGCAGUUAUACACUUUUCAUCCUCCAAUCAAGCAAGGUUACCCGCUGAACUUAAGCAUAUCAAUAAGCGGAGGA
RNAcentral lists this ribosomal RNA (438 nucleotides) under Starmerella bacillaris. RNAcentral's name for it is "eukaryotic LSU rRNA". The stretch from base 132 to 280 matches the Rfam family "5.8S ribosomal RNA". Lineage: Eukaryota; Fungi; Ascomycota; Dipodascomycetes; Dipodascales; Trichomonascaceae. The record is from RNAcentral.